RNAcentral lists this unclassified non-coding RNA (2965 nucleotides) under Octopus sinensis (East Asian common octopus). The record is from RNAcentral. Lineage: Eukaryota; Metazoa; Mollusca; Cephalopoda; Octopoda; Octopodidae.
AUUAUAAGGCUUACCAAAAGGAACGGGUAGUGAAAGUGGACAGCCAAUCUUUGCCUCAUAUGGUGAACAGGCCCAAGGAAGGAGGCAUGAAUGCCAGAUAUGCCUGUCCGGUAGCCAUUGGUCAAAAUAGCUUAUUAACCUUUCAACACUGAAACAUCUUUCAAUAUUUUUGCUCUCACGUUUAUGGAGAUAUGCGGAUUACUGCUUGUUUGGUAUUGUUUUAUCUACAUACAUGCCUGUGUGUAGAUUUUACAUACCAUGUUAAAGAAGGUAGCCAACCUGGUACUUAUCUUGGGGAUAUUGGCGUUAACACACAUUUGAUGGAAACUGUAUCUUUCAAUGACCCCAGUUCGAUACGAUUCAGCCAACUACAAAAAGAUAUUACAGGCAGUUCUCAGUUAUUCAAUGUCUCUGAAAGAGGAAAAUUGUACACUUCUCAACCGCUGGAUGCUGAGUCUCUUUGUAAAUACAAUACUGAGUGUUUUAAAAUGGUAGAUAUUGCAGUACGAAAAAGAAAAUCUUUUAUUAAGAUAUUAGAAAUCAAAGUAAUAAUAGAAGACGUCAAUGACCAUCAGCCUCAGUUUCCUGUCAAACAAAUCAAUGUUCAGUUUGAUGAAGGGGAUGGGAAAGGAAUGACUAAAUCAAUACCCAAUGCUAUUGAUAGCGAUGUUGGUAUAUUAAAUUCUCAGAUCACCUAUGAGUUGAAAAAUAGUGAGCAUAACCCAUUUAAGCUAGCUGUUUCUAAAAGAGCCGACGGAUCAUACUCUCUUGGAAUUACUUUAGAAAAUAAAUUAGACAGAGAGAAAAAAGACACUUACAUGUUACAAGUUAUUGCCAAAGAUGGUGGUUCUCCACCAAAAGAAGGUGUUUUGAAUGUUCAAAUAACAGUCAGCGACAUCAAUGAUAACCAACCGGUUUUUGCCCAGAGUAUAUAUUAUGUUACUAUUAAUAAUAGAACUCUAAAAAGGACACCAAUUGUAAUAUUGUCUGCAAAUGAUUUAGAUGCCAAUAGAAAUGGUAAAAUUUCCUUUCACUUCAGUUCAAAAACAUCCGAUACUGCCAAAUCUUAUUUCAAAUUGAAUGAAAAUACUGGUGAGAUAUUUUUAGAUGAAAAAUUCAAACAAGUGAAGAAAACUUACAAGUUGUUUAUUGAAGCUAGAGACGGAGGAAUCCCCCCUCUCAGUUCAAUAGCAACUGUAUUGGUAAAUGUUAUGGACAAACAAAAUAAUGCUCCUACAAUAGAUGUUAACUUUUCAGAGUUAACUGGAAAUACAGCCAUCAUAUCUGAGGAAACUGAAGUUGGCAGUUUUAUUGCUUAUGUCAAAGUUACUGACAAUGACAUAGGGAACAAUGGCAAAGUAACUUGUAAAUUAUUUCAUGAAAACCUACAAUUAAAGGGCCUUGGUGAAAAAAGAUAUAAGGUAAUAGUAAAAGCUACUGUUGAUAGAGAAACUAAAAACAAACUAGAUUUCGUAAUUACUUGUGAAGAUCACGGAUCUCCGCCUUUAAAGACAGAAAAAAGAUUUUUUAUUAAAGUUAUGGAUGCAAAUGAUGUACAACCUCACUUUACUAAAGAUACCUUUAAGUUUCUUACCUAUGAAAAUGAAAAAACUGAUUUCCCCGUGGGAUUCAUCAAUGCCACUGACCCAGAUUUGGGUUCUGGAGGUCAACUGUCUUACUCAUUAUUAGGAAGUAAUAAACGCAUUCUCCCAUUUCAAAUCUCAAAUUUUGGAUUUAUCUCAACUACUCAGCCAUUAGACCAUGAACAGCAGGAGGUGUAUGAAUUUAAAGUUUUAGUAAGAGACAAUGGAACUCCUUCAUUAAACAACACAGCAAAGGUUAUAGUUGAAGUUAUGGAUGAAAAUGACAAUGCCCCUUACUUUAUUUUUCCCAGUGUAGACCCUUUCAGCCUUGAUGUUUACUACCAACCUCAAAGCAAAAAUGACAUUACAGUUCUGAGAGCUUCUGAUAGAGACAGUCGUCAGAAUGCUUUUCUGAGAUAUGAAAUAUUUGGAGGUAAUGGUAGAAUGUUAUUUAAAGUUAAUCCAUACACUGGUGUUUUGUCCUUCUCACGAACAGUCUACCAAAAUGAUGCAGGAACGUAUAAUCUUGAGCUAUCGGUCAAAGAUAGUGGUACACCUGUUUUAUCAGCAACAACUACCUUAUCCUUGACAUUAUCUGUUAGUAAUACCACAUCCAAGCUGUUGACAGCAGUGCAUUUGCAAUCAGAUGCCAAAAUACAUAUCAACCUCUUUAUCAUAAUCAUAGUGGCAGCAGUGACAGUAUCUGUUUUGUUAGUUAUUUCAAUAACGGUGUGCAUUGUUAGGAGAAGCAACCAACGAAAUGCCAUUCAUCGGACAGUUUUAGAACCAUCAAACAAUCUUAUGGAUGAAAACAGACAAACUGAAUAUUUAUGUGCUAAACAAAUGUCCUCCAAGCAGGAGUCAAGUCAAAGCAGGACACAAUCAAUCAUAGAAAUUCAUAGCCAAACGCUGAAGAAGGGGACACAUCAGAGCCCUGUGAGAGUGCCAACUGCAAACAGAAAUUGGUUUCCGUAUACAGACACAGAAACAAGGAGACCAUCUCAAGAACUGUAUCCUGCAACCAGACUAACCAAACUUCACUAGUCGUCUUCACAGAUUGCCACGGACAUGUUAACGGCAUCUAGGGACAGGCAUCACAGAAUGGUUAACAUUUAGCAACAGCAGAAGCAGCAGUAUAUUUCAUUCGCUGUCACUUUUUAAAACACCAAUCAGUGAUGAAUAUGAGAAAAUACAUGGCUCAGACAUAUUUGGUUUAAGGAUACAUAUUGACCAAAGCAAUCCAUCCAACGUACCUUUUCCUGUAUUCUCAGCAAGAAUCAAAGACAUCUGAUGGCUGGAAAGAUAAAGCAACUACAGUUAAUGCCCCUUACUGUUAUAGUGAAAUGUCUCCUAUAAUUGACUGUGUUCAUGGCUCCACAAAU